RNAcentral lists this long non-coding RNA (621 nucleotides) under Helianthus annuus (common sunflower). Its description in RNAcentral is "sRNA HanXRQr2_Chr07g0279531". Lineage: Eukaryota; Viridiplantae; Streptophyta; Magnoliopsida; Asterales; Asteraceae. The record is from RNAcentral.
UUCAUUGCAAUAUUUAUAAUACAAAGCAAGCUCAAGAAACACAAUCUGAAUAAAAACUUAUACAAGACUUGUUGUGUCUGUAGUUCCAUAUAUAAAAACAAAAUAAUAACCAAGAAAAACACAAUGAAUUUGAACCUACAAACAUCCCAAAGGGUUCACCUUUAUUUCAUUCAAGAUCCGAGCCACGUUGACUUUAACCCCAAGGUCAAGUCGAAGCUGAGUCUUUAGUAGUUGAUGGGUUAAACGGUUUCUGUUCAGCACACGUGAGCACCUCGUGGGGCCCAGCAUACUCACGGCCAAGACCCAUCAAGUCAAGAUAAUACAAGUAAUGUGUGAUGAUGGCGUUCAUGUCAUCGACGUCACCUUUGUUACACGUGCGUUCGCCAUAUAGGAUAUUCAUGGUGCACCCAAAUCCCGGAAACCUGCCAGAUGCAGUGUCGUUUUUGGUCGGUUUGUAUGUCCCAACCAUGCAAUCAUGAGGUGAUGGUUGACCCUUUUUCAACGGGGUAAUCCAUUGAAAGAUUGCCGCUUGGAAGGCUAAUGUGGCGUUUUGUUCGAGGUAUUCAGGGUGGUGUAAAAGAUCGGCUUUUAUACAGUCGCCGAUGUAUCCAUAGUUCAUAA